AUCUGUUAUAUUUAAAAAGAAUUAUUUUUGUUCGGGAAGAUUGAUAAGUGAAAAACUUUUCGUCUAAUGAUUGAGCAAGGGUAGUAACACAAUGUGUGGAUUCACACUAGGAGGCAACAACAAUGGAACAAGGUAAAGUAAAAUGGUUUAACGCAGAAAAAGGAUUUGGCUUCAUCGAACGCGAAAACGGAGACGAUGUAUUCGUACAUUUCUCAGCUAUCCAAAGCGAAGGAUUCAAAUCAUUAGACGAAGGUCAAGAAGUUACUUUUGAAGUUGAGCAAGGUCAACGUGGACCCCAAGCUACUAACGUUCAAAAAGCAUAAUUUUAAAUACAAUAUAUAACGGACCCUACUUGUAGGGUCUGUUUUU
Molecule: unclassified non-coding RNA, 369 nt
Filed under: Peribacillus simplex
Lineage: Bacteria; Bacillati; Bacillota; Bacilli; Caryophanales; Bacillaceae
Description: Bacillus simplex cspA
Rfam family: cspA thermoregulator
Source: RNAcentral